Long non-coding RNA from Oncorhynchus keta (chum salmon), 1193 nucleotides. RefSeq lists it as uncharacterized. NCBI's taxonomy places the organism in Eukaryota, Metazoa, Chordata, Actinopteri, Salmoniformes, Salmonidae. The transcript is spliced from 7 exons. The record is from RefSeq and is a predicted model, not a curated record.
AGUGUAGAGGAGGCAGGUAGCCUAGUGGUUAGAGUGUAGAGGUGGCAGGUAGCCUAGUGGUUAGAGUGUAGAGGAGGUAGGUAGACUAGUGGUUAGAGUGUAGAGGCGGCAGGUAGCCUAGUGGUUAGAGUGUAGAGGAGGCAGGUAGCCUAGUGGUUAGAGUGUAGAGGAGGCAGGUAGCCUAGUGGUUAGAGUGUAGAGGAGGCAGGUAGACUAGUGGUUAGAGUGUAGAGGAGGCAGGUAGCCUAGUGGUUAGAGUGUAGAGGAGGCAGGUAGCCUAGUGGUUAGAGUGUAGAGGAGGCAGGUAGCCUAGUGGUUAGAGUGUAGAGGAGGCAGGUAGACUAGUGGUUAGAGUGUAGAGGAGGCAGGUAGACUAGUGGUUAGAGUGUAGAGGAGGCAGGUAGCCUAGUGGUUAGAGUGUAGAGGAGGCAGGUAGCCUAGUGGUUAGAGUGUAGAGGAGGCAGGUAGCCUAGUGGUUAGAGUGUAGAGGAGGCAGGUAGACUAGUGGUUAGAGUGUAGAGGAGGCAGGUAGACUAGUGGUUAGAGUGUAGAGGAGGCAGGUAGUCUAGUGGUUAGAGUGUAGAGGAGGCAGGUAGACUAGUGGUUAGAGUGUAGAGGAGGCAGGUAGACUAGUGGUUAGAGUGUAGAGGAGGCAGGUAGACUAGUGGUUAGAGUGUAGAGGAGGCAGGUAGACUAGUGGUUAGAGUGUAGAGGAGGCAGGUAGCCUAGUGGUUAGAGUGUAGAGGAGGCAGGUAGACUAGUGGUUAGAGUGUAGAGGAGGCAGGUAGCCUAGUGGUUAGAGUGUAGAGGAGGCAGGUAGCCUAGUGGUUAGAGUGUAGAGGAGGCAGGUAGACUAGUGGUUAGAGUGUAGAGGAGGCAGGUAGCCUAGUGGUUAGAGUGUAGAGGAGGCAGGUAGCCUAGUGGUUAGAGUGUAGAGGAGGCAGGUAGACUAGUGGUUAGAGUGUAGAGGAGGCAGGGUGGCCUAGUGGUUAGAGUGUAGAGGAGGCAGGUAGCCUAGUGGUUAGAGUGUAGAGGAGGCAGGUAGCCUAGUGGUUAGAGUGUAGAGGAGGCAGGUAGACUAGUGGUUAGAGUGUAGAGGAGGCAGGUAGCCUAGUGGUUAGAGUGUAGAGGAGGCAGGUAGCCUAGUGGUUAGAGUGUAGAGGAGGCAGGUAGACUAGUGGUUAGAGUGUAGA